AAUAUCAUAAACAGCUAUACAAUGGUAACCAUAUCUGAGAUUAAAUCUUUAGGGGUUUUAGCAACUUUAAUUAAAAAAGUCACCAAAACAGAGAGACAGCAUUUUUUCGAGGCUCUGUAUUUCAUAUAUUCAGGUAAAGACUACUUGCUGUGCUGUUUGUAAUGACACUAAAUGGUGACAUCCAAUGUUACUAUGACCACCAGCUAGAACAGGAGGAUUAAAACAAUCUGACUAGAAGACUGCCAGCUACAGAUAAACAGAUAUCUGUCUGUUUUACCUGAUUUGUAUUACCAAAAAGUCUUUUAUGUAAGCCUUUCCUCACUGCAUAUAUUUCUGGUGUCUUUCCACUUUUUAUGUUUGCAGCAGCAAAGAAUAUUCAUUACUCUGCCUCAGAGACUUGGGAGUUGUACUAGUAUCUCCUGAGUAACUGUCUUCAUUAUUUCAGUUAUUCAACCAUAAAAAGAGAAAAGUAGGGAAAAUGAAAAGAAACCUUCUCAAAUCCAACCUCACAGCUAACAGCUAGGCUGCUGAGCUAGCAAAGAACCCAUUGAUCCACAUCACAACUGCAGAAAUUUCUUGCUAAGUGCCUCAUCCACCUAAACUACCAAACCACAAAUCCCCUGGCACAAGAACCAUUGUAGUAGUCUACAUCAGGUAGUGGCUAAACUCCCUUCUAGUUUGGCUCCAUCAAUAUUAUUUUACUUACGCAUUAGAUUUCCUAUACAGAACAUUACUUCUAUAGUCAUGGAAAGAUGAAACUUCAUACAACAAAACUUGAGUAGCCAAUAAAAAGAAGGUAAUUUGGUGAUCAAAAACUUAUCUCCACCCUCAAAUCACUCAUUUCCUAUUCUUCAUAGCCUUUUCUCUUUCUAUUGCUUCCUCUGCCAAGAAUAAUUCUCACAUUUCUUACUUUUCCAGAUUUUUCCUGAGACUUUUCUCAUUGGCUUCCUCAAAUUUACCUUUCAUUACAGGAGAUAAUCACCUGAGAUUUAUCUUUAGUGAGACUCUGAUCCAACUGCAGUAUCCUUCUGUAUUUCCCAGGAGAAUAAACAUUUCUAGCACAAUAAGCUGUAAGCAGCCUAUCACUAGGCUGCCCAUCUAUAUGUCCUCAAGUUUGUAUGUUUUGAUCAUCUCAAAACACAGUUGGCAGUAGUUUAACAUCUGUUCCCAUGGAAUACAUCUCUUUCCUGAAAUCCAAGAUAAACUGGUAUAACAGUAUAAAUCAGAGUAUUAAGAGGAGGCACAGUAGUAUUAACUGUGCUAAUAAUGCCAUAAAUAAAAACAAUGCAAUACUGACUUCUAACACUAAGAUAUUAAAUGGAGCAAAAUUCUUCUAUGCCACUACAGCGGGGCAAAUGCAUCAACAUAAUUCUGCUGCCAUACAAUCACUUACAGAAGUAACUGCAGAGAAUUCCUUUUCAGAUUCCAGUUGUCUUGACUGCUGUUCUGCAGAUGACUUAUUCUUUUCCUCUGUAACACAAUCUUUUAUUUAUAUGCAAAAGGCCCUAUUACAACAACUUGGAACAAAGCCUGAUUUUGUCAAGUAGUUGAUUUAAAGGAUUUGCAUUUCUAAACAUUCUGUAUGCAUUUUAAUGCACUUAAAUAU
Gallus gallus (chicken) is the source of this 1606-nucleotide long non-coding RNA. Lineage: Eukaryota; Metazoa; Chordata; Aves; Galliformes; Phasianidae. The record is from Ensembl.